RNAcentral lists this long non-coding RNA (2028 nucleotides) under Malus domestica (apple). RNAcentral describes it as "long non-coding RNA (MDOM_LNC001433)". Lineage: Eukaryota; Viridiplantae; Streptophyta; Magnoliopsida; Rosales; Rosaceae. The record is from RNAcentral.
CGCUACGUGCGAUUUACACAUUUUAAAUGUAUUUAUAUGCGAGGAUUGGUUCAAUGUAUAGAAACAUUAAAUAAAGGUGAUUAUCAACUCUAAUAAUACAGGCAUGAAUUUAAAGUAUUUUAUCUAGAAUAUGUAAAAAAAAAAAGUAAUAAAUAACAUAGAAGAUCCUUAUACUGUAGUCGCAACUAAAAACUAAAUAAAAAGUGUAAAAACAAUUCAAGAACUUCAAUCGACCUUGAUACACUUGACAACAAAAUAUAUCAUGAACUCAUAUCGUUUUGUCCUGUAAUCUGUACCCCAAAAGCUAGCGCAUGAUCGUUUUUCAAACAUUGGCAAGCAAAACCCCAUAUAUAGUUCCACAAAAUCUUGGCGUGAUUGAUGUCCAACACUCUGCAAAAGAAGAAAAAGAUUUUCAAAUGGAUUAUGGAACUAAAACAACGCACCAUUCCACCAAUUUUGAUUUAAAACUAUGAGCAACUCAUUGGGAGAAAAAUGAUGAAUAGACUGUUGAGAAAUCUUUUUUGGACGAUUCAAAAGUGAAUAGCAUAAAAAAGACAAUUUAAUUUUUAAUAUUAUACCCUAAUAUUUUAUAGGUUAAUCUAUUUAGUCAAUCCGUCAUGUGUGGUUUUUAUCAUAAUCCUCUUUCUCCUUUACAUUUGGCAAUUGUGUAGAUUUGCAUCUCUAGUAAAAAAUUUCUUCUAUUGUACUUUGUUUGUUGACAAAGUAUUUUGCAAAAAACAAAUAAGCAUCGGUGACAAAGAGUAAAUGAAAUACAUACUAUCAAACUAAAAUACAUACCUUAGAACGAUUAUUCCCACCACCACAGCCUUGUUCGUUCGAUAUAUGUUUGACUGAGAGGAAUAAAAAAUCAUGAAAACUAGUCUCAAUAUAGAGGUCAAGCAACAUUUAAUAGUAAGGAGAAAAAGAAAAAAAAGUAUCAUAAAAAAUAGGACCAAUCGAAAAUUAUGGAAAGAAAAGAGGAAUAAAACUCAGUUAACUUCACAAAAGAAAUUUUAUCAUCACAAUAGAACACUUAACACACGGUAAACCUCAUCUUACUAUUUCACAGCAGAAUAAGUAAAUUUUUUCCUUGAAGUUGAAUGCUCUCCAAAUGGAGAAGAGCUUGUUCUUGGUCUUUUAGAAUUCCUCUGGACUCAUGUAGGAAAUCUCAGUUUAAGCCCUUCAACCAUCCUUACAAUUAGUCAGUCUCUUCCUAAUUUCUUCCUUCAUCCCAGACAUAUGCUCUCUAAAAACUACAAACUCAAUGAACACACCUUCCUCAUAAAUACGAUUUCUCAACAAUAUGCUCCCUAAACAAAUAAUGUUGAACACUCAAAAAUGUCAGGUUAGUUCUAUAGUAUGCAAGGAGUAACAGUUCUAGUCUUACCUAUUGGGAGAAUAAUGUAAAUUCGUGAGGGCAAAUCAUAGAGACAAAAGAUCGAAACAAAUGGCUUACUAAUUGAGUCGACUCUCAUCUGAAACAAAGGAAGCAUGGCAACAGGCAACAUACCUGGAAAAGAAAACGUUAAAUAAUAAGAAAUAUUGGAGAAUCUAUAUACACAAAAUAUUCAGGAUUUAAAAAACAUAAUCUUCAAAAGCCAGAUUUAAAAAAACAUAAUCUUCAAAAGCCAACAAUGACAAAAUCACAUACAAUGGUUCAGAAGAACCUGAAUCAUGUGAUGUACCUUGUCUUUUCUGAUGAGCUUGCAUCCUGCAAGAGGUGCAACACUGAAGGUUUGAGCAAGAAGCUUAUCACCCAUUCAAAAUUAAUUAGAAACAAAAUGAAAUUUGAGCAAAUGAUCGUUUGCAAGGCCGACAUGCAUACAAUUCAGAGACGAUGGUUUACCUUUUUGUUUCUAGAAGUUGAAAACAUAAUCUUGAGAGACGAUGAGAUUUUGGAAAACCGAGGAAAUUUGAUUAAAAAGGGAUAUGAAAUCGGAGAAAUUUGUGGAAACGUACAGCGGUUUCCAAUCGCCCCUGCAGAACGGGGAAUCGUUGCAGAAAAUUGCUUCUAUCUCUAGCUUUAGC